AAAGACAAUUGUUAAAUUACUCCCUAAAAAAUGUAAAAAUUUGGGUGAAUUGUUGAAGAUAUAUACUCUUAGUGCGGUAUGAUCUUCCUUAAUAGGUUGGAUUGGUGGUGCAUUUGUAUCAUAUUAAUUUGUUUGAUCUUCAACAAUUUGGUCAGUCUAAUUUAGCAAGCAGUUAUACUUUGUCUUUACGGGAUUUCAGGGACCCUAAUUUGUAAUCUAUCCAAUUGAUUUAUAUAGAGUACAAUUAUGUAUUAUUUUCAUGUAGUCUUAAAUUUUGUUCUCUAUAUGUUCAAACCAAGUGGUCAUCGGUGCAUGGGAUACUAUUAAUUUUGGAAAGAAUAGUAGGACUUCUAGAUGUUCCAACAGGAUCUUCAACUGUCUAGCCUGUUCCAUGUUUACAAUUAAUCAGAUAUGGGAAAGACGGUUGUCAUUGGGCUAGAUAAGGUCCAAAUGGGGUCUGGAGGGUAGGUAGGAUAUAUAGAGGUCCCCUCUUGUUACGAGGGAUCUCCUAACCUAAACCAGACUUCCAUUGCAUUUACUCUUCAACGUUUGGAAUCCCAUCUACCCUCUCAUACUUCAUUUUCACACCCCUCACUCUCUCUCUCUCUUGCAUAUCUAUCUGUAAGUCAAAGCUACUUCUGUGAUACCUGAGUUAUAAGAUCGAGCUUGUGGUAGCUUAACAAAGACAUGGCCUCCUUGAACUUAACACGUUACUACCCUCUCUGAUAAUCACCUUUUCUUUUCAAUAGCUAUGAAGAAAUCUCUCUGUCAGUCUGCUUUUGAUAUGCAGCUGAAUAAUUGCUCCAAGGUGUACUGGUUUUUCAUUCGGCGAGUGGUUUCCAUGCCACCCUUGUCAAGUGAACAGUCUCUUGCACUCUAUCUUUGUCUCGUUGUCUGUUCGACCUUGAGCUGAAUCACUAAUAAUUAUUACUACACACUUGUUCGACAAGAGUUUCUUGUGUUUUUAAUGAAAACAUUUAGAUUUAAAUUCCCUCUCACCAACUAUUGAAUUAUCGGAAAAAAAAAAUUACUUGUUCUGAAAUGAUCCCAAAAUACAUUAGUUUGAUAGUGGAUAUCUUAUUUAAGCUAUUGGGUGUAAUAUUAAGACACUGAUAAGUAUAUGUAGUUAAACCAUUUAUUGCACUUUUUUUUUUCUGCUAGCUUCUAUAUGUUCACUCUCUUCUAGAGACACAAUAAAAAAAAAUGUACGUAGGCACUCAAAUUAUGGAUCUGGUUGCUUUUCUAUUAUGUGUUUGUUACUUUGUCCUCUACAUCUUUAAUUUCAUUAUACCAUAUAAUUAAUUCGUAAACCUCUUAUCAAAUAUACUUGCAGUUCUAGCUCUUUGCUUGUUUCUGUAACUACGUGUCGUUUGUCACGGUUGCUACUAGGAUGACUUUGACAAAUUGUUAGCCCUCAAAGUGGGUCGUUUUAAGACCAUCCCAUAUAAGUCACGAGCUUUUAUAAAUUAGUCAUCAAUUGCUAAGCUGGUAGUUGUGAGAAAUGCCAGUGGCACGAAUAGAUGAUGAACCCGGAAGUUACAGUCACACAGUCAGUAUGGGACACAUCUCCAUUGACCUUGAGAUAGGGGUUGAAACCCAUAUUUUUAUACCUAGUUUUCAUUUUUCUAAGAUCAAUAAAAUUUUAUUAUUGUUUAGUCAGAGAGAUGACUACGUUUGGUUUGGAACCGCAACUCGUGGACUCCAAAGAACAAUGGUAUAUUCAAUCUAGGAAUUAGGAUGUUGUUUGGAUUCAACCUAGGUUUAGUCAAAGACGUAAUUUUUGGUGUCUUUUGUAGUUCCAUAAAAGCUUCAAAGAAUUAGGAUGGUUUUUGCAAGACUGUUCAAUAAUAGCUUCAAUUGUGAGUUCAAAAUUGGAGAAUCCAAAUCCACGAAAAUAAGUUAAUGAUAUAAAAGUUCUAAAGCAAAGCUCAAGGUUGAAAAGGCAACGAAAUUGAGGUAAAAACAGUAACUGUUUGCCUGACAAGCUUCGCAUGGACACCAAUGCCUCAUUUCUCUUCCAUUUGCAUCCCAAAAAUUUCUGCAUGAUCAAAAGAGUAAAAGUGAAGCAGUGGUGAAGAAAGAUAGCAAGGCUCGUGUAAAGAAGACUAAAGUACAAAAGAAGACAAUUAGUCUAAACGACAGUAGUAUUGGUGUUUUGUUGAGAAAGCUACGUGUAGUAUUAAAAGGUUAAGUGCAGCACGUGAAAUGCAUAUGAGAGAGUUGGCUGAGUUAUUAGUGGACAGAUGGCUAAUUGUUAUUGGAAGAGUGUAAAUAGGAAAAUCUGUUAUAAGUAGUUAGAGGUAGUUAGGGAUUUUCCUGCUCUUUUUAUCUUUUGGUAGAGUAGUAAUCCAUAGUAUAAAUGUAAAGUUGUGCAUUGUAAUUCAUUCACUUCUUGUAAUCACAGUACUUGAGCAAUAAGAAUUUUCUCUCUUACUUAGAAAAUUCUCUCUCUA
Molecule: long non-coding RNA, 2453 nt
Organism: Quercus lobata
Lineage: Eukaryota; Viridiplantae; Streptophyta; Magnoliopsida; Fagales; Fagaceae
Exons: 2
Source: RefSeq, a predicted model, not a curated record